GAUGAACGCUGGCGGCGUGCCUAAUACAUGCAAGUCGAGCGAACAGACGAGGAGCUUGCUCCUUCGACGUUAGCGGCGGACGGGUGAGUAACACGUAGGUAACCUACCUAUAAGACUGGGAUAACUUCGGGAAACCGGAGCUAAUACCGGAUAAUAUUUCGAACCGCAUGGUUCGAUAGUGAGAGAUGGCUUUGCUAUCACUUAUAGAUGGACCUGCGCCGUAUUAGCUAGUUUGUAAGGUAACGGCUUACCAAGGCAACGAUACGUAGCCGACCUGAGAGGGUGAUCGGCCACACUGGAACUGAGACACGGUCCAGACUCCUACGGGAGGCAGCAGUAGGGAAUCUUCCGCAAUGGGCGAAAGCCUGACGGAGCAACGCCGCGUGAGUGAUGAAGGUCUUCGGAUCGUAAAACUCUGUUAUUAGGGAAGAACAAACGUGUAAGUAACUGUGCACGUCUUGACGGUACCUAAUCAGAAAGCCACGGCUAACUACGUGC
RNAcentral lists this ribosomal RNA (498 nucleotides) under uncultured bacterium. RNAcentral's name for it is "partial 16S ribosomal RNA". It matches the Rfam family "Bacterial small subunit ribosomal RNA", at positions 28 to 508 of the family's 1533-position model. The record is from RNAcentral.